CCGUUGCCGGCGACCGGCGCACGGGUGAGUAACACGUAUGCAACCUGCCCGUGGCAGGGGGAUAAGCGGGGGAAACCCCGUCUAAUACCGCGUAACGCGGCCUUGGGGCAUCCCAAGGCCGCCAAAGGGAGCAAUCCCGGCCACGGAUGGGCAUGCGGCGCAUUAGCUAGUCGGCGGGGUAACGGCCCACCGAGGCGACGAUGCGUAGGGGUUCUGAGAGGAAGGCCCCCCGCACUGGUACUGAGACACGGACCAGACUCCUACGGGAGGCAGCAG
RNAcentral lists this ribosomal RNA (276 nucleotides) under uncultured bacterium. Its description in RNAcentral is "partial 16S ribosomal RNA". It matches the Rfam family "Bacterial small subunit ribosomal RNA", at positions 82 to 354 of the family's 1533-position model. The record is from RNAcentral.